Molecule: non-coding RNA, 1246 nt
Organism: Pelodiscus sinensis (Chinese soft-shelled turtle)
Lineage: Eukaryota; Metazoa; Chordata; Testudines; Trionychidae
Source: RefSeq, a predicted model, not a curated record
AAUCAACCCUCUCCGCGCCUAACCCUUUGCACACCGACCUUCCCCACCGGACAAUAUUUAAGGAUCAAGGUCCCAUCCUAGAAAGAGGUCCCAACGCAGAGCCAGACCCCGGACGCCCCGUAACAAUAGCGCUCGCCUCCUCGGGAAAAUUAAAAACCCUGCUUCUGCCCAGCGAGCGCUGCCCAGACCUUGGAGUUGUCCGUGAUCCCCGGAAGCGGAGGCAGCGACAGCUCAGACAGCCCCUCUUUGAAGAAAGGAGCGAAGAGUAAAUAGCCCGGUGAUUGAUGGGCUGCCUUUGACUGCGGAGAAAGCGCUAUUUUCCUUCAAGUGGCCAGGUCAGAUGGUCACGGAAGAAGGUUGAAAGCCGGACGCCCCGCUCCCCCGGCGAGCUCGGUGCCCUUUUACACCGAUUUCAGAGGACGCAGACUGGGCGGGUGAGUGGCUGAGCAGGAUACAGAGAAUCCCUGCCCAGCGCUGGGGGUGCCACAGUCGCUCGCCCGGAUCCCCAUGGGCAAGCUGGGUGCAUGCCCGCAGCAGGUUUCAGGCUUGGGCAAAGCUAUUCCCCGCGCCCCGGGGCAGGAUCCGACUCGCGUUCCUCCCCGGGAAACUCGGGCCUUUGGGAGAAACGAAAGCCCCGGAGGCGGGGAGAGGAGCGCACCUUCUGCCUCGGAGACUCGCUUUUGGCCCAGGCGCGUACAACCGGGGGCAGGAGGAAGCUGGGGAGGUGUCUGCCAGGCACCCAGAAACCAGCCGGGGCGAGAUGGCCACGUGAAGACUUUCUUAGGCUCUGCCGCCACCCCUCUUUCCACCCGAGUCCGAAUCCAGCCGGGGCGAGUGUCCACACGCGCGCGCGCCGGGGCUCGAAGGGGGCUACUGGAGGGGUUCGAACUGGGCUGGACUUUCGGCACUGGACUUCGAAGCGGCGCUGCAGGCGACACUUUGCGGCCAGGAUCCUGGCUUGACCUCCCCCCCCCCCCCCCUUCGCCAGCCCGAUUGGGGCAGCGGCUUUCGGGGUGGGGUUUUUUUGCGCCCCCGGCAGCUUGUCAAAACAGGAGGUCGCCUCUCCCUUCUCAAGUCGGGAAGCAGCUUAAAAGGGCUAGGAGAGGAUGGCGGAGCCGCUGCUGUCUCCUCCCGAGGAUUUCGGCACAAACGCCGAUUGUUUCUGUAGGGAGAUUACUCUGAGAAUUAUUUUUUUCUCCCCCCAAAAAACAAGUAAACGCCCCUUGGCACAUGGGGCGGGGGGGGG